CAGUAGCCGCGGGAAUACGAAGGGGGCUAGCGUUGUUCGGAAUUACUGGGCGUAAAGCGCACGUAGGCGGAUAUUUAAGUCAGGGGUGAAAUCCCAAGGCUCAACCUUGGAACUGCCUUUGAUACUGUUUGUCUUGAGCUCAAGAGAGGUAAGUGGAACUGCGAGUGUAGAGGUGAAAUUCGUAGAUAUUCGCAAGAACACCAGUGGUGAAGGCGGCUUACUGGCUCGAAACUGACGCUGAGGCGCGAAAGCGUGGGGAGCAAACAGGAUUAGAUACCCCCGUAGUCCCUGUCUCUUAUAC
RNAcentral lists this ribosomal RNA (301 nucleotides) under uncultured bacterium. RNAcentral's name for it is "partial 16S ribosomal RNA". It matches the Rfam family "Bacterial small subunit ribosomal RNA", at positions 509 to 807 of the family's 1533-position model. The record is from RNAcentral.